GAGUUUGAUCAUGGCUCAGGAUGAACGCUGGCGGUGCGCCUGACACAUGCAAGUUGAACGGAAGCGGUAAGCUUCAGUAGCGAACGGGUGCGUAACACGUGAGAACUUGCCCCAAGGAGGGGAACAACCUCCGGAAACGGGGGCUAAUACCCCAUAAGUUGAGCCAUGGCAGUGAGCUAGGGCGGGGGAGCUUUUCCCCCGAAACGAAAAGCGCAGAAUUUAAAAAUUCAUAGCGCCGCCUCGGGAUGGGCUCGCGGCUGAUUAGCUAGCUGGCAGGGUAACGGCCUACCAGGGCGACGAUCAGUAGCUGGCUUGAGAGAGCGGUCAGCCACACUGGGACUGAGAUACGGCCCAGACUCCUACGGGAGGCAGCAGUGGGGAAUCUUCCGCAAUGGGCGAGAAGCCUGACGGAGCGACACCGCGUGGGGGAAGAAGGACCGUGGUUCGUAAACUCCUUUUCUCGGGGACGACAUCAGACGGUACCCGGGGAAUAAGCGUCGGCUAACUCCGUGCCAGCAGCCGCGGUAAUACGGGGGAUGCGAGCGUUAUCCGGAAUUAUUGGGCGUAAAGCGCCUGCAGGUGGCCUGCCAAGUCCUCCGUCAAAGGCCGGGGCCUAACCCCGGAAAGGCGGCGAAAACUGCUAGGCUAGAGGGCGUGCUGGGGUAGAGGGAACUCCUAGUGUAGCGGUGAAAUGCGCAGAUAUUAGGAAGAACACCGGUGGCGAAGGCGCUCUACUGGGCCAGACCCUGACACUCAGAGGCGAAAGCUGGGGGAGCGAGACGGAUUAGGUACCCGUGUAGUCCCAGCCGUAAACGAUGGACACUAGGUGUCGAGUUCCCUAGGUCGUGUCUCGGCCGAGAUCCUUCGGCUGAUCCCAAGACUAGGGCUGCCUCGGUGUCGAAGCUAACGCGUUAAGUGUCCCGCCUGGGGAGUACGCCCGCAAGGGUGAAACUCAAAGGAAUUGACGGGGGCCCGCACAAGCGGUGGAGCAUGUGGUUUAAUUCGAUGCGACGCGAAGAACCUUACCAGGGCUUGCAUGUGGUAACCGUUAGAGCGUCAUCGCCUUUCCGGAGCCGGCUUCGCGGCCAUCCUGAAAGGUAGACUAAGCCGAAACGGGAAGAUGUCCAUACAGGUGGUGCAUGGCUGUCGUCAGCUCGUGUCGUGAGAUGUUGGGUUGAGUCCCGCAACGAGCGCAACCCUCGUUCUCAGUUACCUCAGGAAAGCGGGAAAGCCGCAACUGAAGACUGGGAAUACUGCCGGCGACAAGCCGGAGGAAGGUGAGGUCGACGUCAAGUCAUCAUGCCCCCGAUGCCCUGGGCCACACACGUGCUACAUUGGCCGAGACAAAAGGAGGCGCCCGAGUGGUCCCCAAAAUCCUCAAACCCGGUCCCAGUUCGGAUCGCGGGCUGCAACUCGCCCGCGUGAAGUAGGAAUCGCUAGUAAUCGCUGGUCAGCUACACAGCGGUGAAUACGUUCCCGGGCCUUGUACACACCGCCCGUCACACCAUGGAAGUUGGUCGCACCCGAAGGCGGGGUCCCGCUUACCUUGCGACAUUGCGAGGUAAAAAGGGGUGCCUCGACUAAGGCGAGAAGAGCAACCAGGGUGAAGUCGUAUCGGGGUAACC
RNAcentral lists this ribosomal RNA (1625 nucleotides) under uncultured marine eukaryote. RNAcentral's name for it is "partial 16S ribosomal RNA". It matches the Rfam family "Bacterial small subunit ribosomal RNA". The record is from RNAcentral.